UGGGGUGUGGCGAAGCGGUUUAACGCACCGGUUUUUGGUACCGGCAUUCCUAGGUUCGAAUCCUAGCACCCCAGCCA
RNAcentral lists this transfer RNA (77 nucleotides) under Rhodospirillales bacterium. RNAcentral describes it as "tRNA-Gln". It matches the Rfam family "tRNA". From Rfam's summary of the family: Transfer RNA (tRNA) molecules are approximately 80 nucleotides in length. Their secondary structure includes four short double-helical elements and three loops (D, anti-codon, and T loops). Lineage: Bacteria; Pseudomonadati; Pseudomonadota; Alphaproteobacteria; Rhodospirillales. The record is from RNAcentral.